Camelus dromedarius (Arabian camel) is the source of this 6874-nucleotide long non-coding RNA. RefSeq lists it as uncharacterized. NCBI's taxonomy places the organism in Eukaryota, Metazoa, Chordata, Mammalia, Artiodactyla, Camelidae. The record is from RefSeq and is a predicted model, not a curated record. The transcript is spliced from 7 exons.
GGUUGUGCAGGAGGAGGUGAUUUAAGAUCCAGAUUACCCAGCUGCCCUGACUCAUGCAUACUUGGAGGGAUAAAGUCUGAGAGCCUGGGCAUGUCAGGACUCGGGCCCACGCUGGCCUGAGGGAUCAGGGAAAGACUGGAGCUCAGAGUGGGAGUUCUGGAGCAGCAGCAAGGCUCCCAGAUUCUCCUCUUGAUUCCCCUCCAACUUGGGGAUUUCUCCUGCUGGAUUUUAAAGCUGUGAUUUUAAAGGAAGCUGUUCUGGCCUGGGCAGGUACCCUUUCUGACCCAUUUAUUGAGUGACCCAAGAAGCUGUCAAUUAUGAGUCGAGCCCAGAACAAGAGGGAGCUCUAUAAGAAGUCCAGACUGCUGCUCAAGCAACUGUGCCUCUAGGACCAUCUAGUCCAGAAGAUCCAAUGGUGCUUAAAAUGUUGAUGAUAGAUAGGGAUGCUCUUUAGAGCCUUUUUCAGAUUCCUAUGGAUCAGAAUGUGACUCCUUACGGUUUUGGAAUAAAGCCCUGCCAUCCUCUGUGAAUAACUAUCCUUUUAAGAAAUAGCUUUUGUUUUGCUACUGGGUCUUAGUAGAAAUUGAAUUCUUGGUCAUCAGUCACUAAGUUACCACGUGACCUGAGCUGCCUAUUGCUAGGUAUUGCCUGACCCACUGAGCCAUAAUGUUGAGCAUGCACAGAAGUACUUCAUUCUCAAAUGGGAGUGGUAUGUACGAAAUUGGACUUGAGCAGAACCUGAAGGCAUAGGCAUGUUUGCAUGAGCAAGUGGUCCAUAUACUCAUAGCCCCUAUUCCUGAUAUAUUAUCUUCUCUCUCUUUACCUGCACCUGGCCGCUUGGGAAGCUCCUUGUGACCAGGUGAUGAGGGAAAAAAGACUCAGGCCUAUUCUGCAUGUGCUACCAGGAAGUGGACAGCUGAAGCACAACAGCCUCACUCUGGGAUGGCCCUAAAGGACAGUGGUAAAGGGAAAUCUUCCCCGUGCACAGAGUUUGGAGCACUGCACCUGAUUGUCCAUUUUGCUUGGAAGGAGAGAUGUGCAGAUGUACAUGUCUGCACAAGUUUAUGGGCCAUGGCUAAUACUUGGCUGGAAGGUCAAGAGAUUUGGAAGGAACAUGAUUGAAAAAUCAGUGACAGAGAGAUCUGGAGGAAAGCAGGUGGAAGGGAUGCGUCAUUCCAUGGACAGCGAUCCUUCUCCAGCAACUCCCGUCAUUGCCCAAUCGGCUCAUGAAUAAAGUGGCCAUGGUGGCAGAGAUGAAAGUUAUGCAGAGGCUCGACAACAUAAAUGUCUACUUACCAGGGCCCACCUGGCUGUGGCAGCUGCAGAGGGCCCAACCUGCUAACAGCAGAGGUCUACAGUGAGCCCCUGACAUGGCACCAUUCCCAGCUACUAACUAGCCACCUACUGGCAGGUUGAUUACAUUAGAUCAGAUUACUUCUCUCAUAGAAAGGGCAGUGAUUUGUUCUUAUUAGAAUAGACACUUACUCUGGAUAUAGGUUUGCCUUCUCUGCUCACAAUGUUUCUGCCCAAAGCACCACCAAAACCGUGUACAGAAUAACUUACUCACUAUUAUGGUAUUUCACACAGUGCCACUUCUGACCAAGAAAAUUACUUUACAGCAAAUGAGGUGCAGCAGUUUCUUAUAUAGUUCCCUGGUCUUACCAUGCUCCCCAUCACCCUGAAGCAGCUGGCUUGAUAGAAUGAUGCAACGGCCUUUUGAAGACUCAGUUAUGGUAACUCGUACAAGAUGCAAAGUAUGCUCUAAAUCAUCCAGUGUUUAUUUUUGUUUCUCCGACAGCCAGGAAUCAUGGGCCUGGGAAUAAAGGGUGGUUAUGGGAAAGGUUCCUCUCACUGUUAUCCCUGGUGAUCCACUAAACUUUUGCUUCCUGUCCCUGUGACAGUCUCUGCCUGUCUAGAAGUCUUAGCUUUAAAUGGAGGAGUGAUGAUUCUGUUGCACUGGACUGCUCCUGGACUCAUGCCAUGAAAUCAACAGGCAAAGAAGGGAGGGUUGCCUCUCAGUAUGCCCAUAUCCUAUGAUUAAGUUACAUCAACUCAAUUAACAGGACUGCUAAUGGCCCAGAGCCUUCAGAAAUGAAGAUUUUGUUCCCUUCACCUGGCAAGGAUUCCCAGCUAGCUGAAAUGUUUGCUGAAGACAAAGGGAAUAUGGAAUGGGAAGUGGAAAGGAGUAGUUACAAAUACCAGCUAUGACCACACGACCAGUUGCAUAUAGUACUUCUCACCUCCAGCCUGAGGCAGCAGAUGGGCCAGUAACUGCCCUGCCUCCCCCAUCCUUCUCCAGCUCCUCCAACUCCUGGGCCAGGUUUGUGUGUCCAGCUGUAUGAUGAAGGGACAUCCUGCAGUCAAGCCUUUUCUUGGACUUUAAUCUCCAGCAUGAGACGUGAAGACAGUAACCUUACAGACAUGAUUGAACCACACCCCACAAUUACAGAAGCCUCUCAACAGGUCUAGGUGAAGUUUGCUCCUCUGUCUGAUUUCCCCGAAGCCAGCAAGCUGGGUCACGUGGCUGGCUGACCUCCCAGCACCGCCUACCUCCACUGCAUGAGAUGCCAUCAAGAUCCCACCCAAAGGAGCCAGUCGUCCCGGAGAAACAAUGAGCAAUUCUUACAAGACACAGUGGAGCUCUGUUACUGUGGCACAGGAAGGCUCGAUAAGAUCUCCCAGCGGCAGCAUUCUUUUGUGUCAGCAGAGGCAAGUGGGAUGUUCCUUCUGCAGCUCUUGCGGGGCAAGAGGAAGCGGGCUUUGAAACACAAUGUUCAUUGAAAUCGGCUUUCAUCUAAGGAAUCCCGUGGUGGCUCCUGCUUCACGAUGUGCAUUCUGUCUACAGCAGAGCUCGCCUGAUGCAUUUCCGUUGUUUGUUCUGAGGGGAAGGUAGCACCUUUAUGAGACACACUUUUAUAGGUAAAGGGCAUCAUAUUGUGCAAGGCAAAGUGUUCUGUGUCAGGAUGUCUCCAGUGAGUCUGGAGCUGAGAAGGAACAUUAAAAAUAAAAUUGAAAAAAAAAAAAAAAAAAAAAAACACCCAAAGGCUCUGCAUCCUGGCUCACUGACGAAGCACUCGCUCUGUCAGCGGAGGAACGUAAAGCCAUCCGGAAGACUCUUGGACAGCACGCGCAUGCUUGGUGACUUUAGAAGCAGGAAUUAUUUGUUGCUUUAGUUAUUACAGUGGGCACAAUGCCACAGGCCACAAAUGGUGGUACUUAAGUAUGGUCUGAGCGCUGUGGGCCCAAUAGAACCUGUCCAGAAGCCAGGGGUCUCCAUUAUUCAUUGCGGGGCAAUCCUGGCUCUCUACAGACAAAAAUGGGGAGAGGAAGUAAUCCACAGUGUCAAAUCAUAGGUAAGAAGUUUCUCCAUCCUAUUGUCCUAGUUUCAUAGUUUAACAAUUCACCUUCUUUUCAGAGAAGAACAUUCUGGAUUCAAUAAAGAGUCUCUCUGAUUAAGAAGAGGUCUAAAUCAAUACCUGGAGAAACAAAUCAACACAAUUAAGUUCAUUUUUUCAUUCUUUCUCGACACCUCCUCUCAGCUAUCACUGCCCUUCCUUCUCUGCUCCACUCCAGCUGUACUACCAACUUACAAUGCAAAGGAAGCUAAACAAUUAACAAUGUGGAUAGGAGAGUGAACAUGAAACAUCUUUACUUUCAUAGUACUUUUAACUCUGCACUUUUUGUUUUCCUUUGACUUUCAAAAUAAGUUGGCAAAGUUAAGUAGGCAUUGUCUAUUUCAGCAGCAGUGGGAAUCAACAGAGAGACAGAACAAGGUUAGAGACCCUUGAUUCUCAUAAAGAGCUGGCAGCUAUACAUAAAGGAAAACUCAUGUGUGGAGUUCCUGGCCCAGGCCCUGUUCAUCAGGUUGGUUCCCCUAGGCAUGUGGACAGGUGAUCAGUCUCCAAUCUGACCAUCAAGGCUGACUUUUCAUCACCACCAGUGGGCUAAAGUCCUACAUAGGUCUGUGUGUUUAAGUGAAGAUAUAUAUAUAUAUAUGUAUAUAUAUAUAACAGAUAUACAAGGCGGUUCUGAUGUUGAAAAACCUGGAAGUUAUUUCUUGGAAUCCAGCGUAUUUGUUCUAGUCUAAAAAGAAAAGAUGUCAAUAUUAUACAUGACACAGAACACAAGAAAAUGACAAUCCAGGCAGUAAAUAUUCCAAGAAGGAAAGAAUCAAAAGAGUCCCAAGAAAUCAAAAUUGUAACUAAACUUUAUGACAAGGACCCCAAACAGCUCUUUAAAUGGCUUAUCUUUAGCUGAACUAACAACAGAACUCUUAAAUACCUGGAAAUUUUGUGGAGUCUUCUCUGGGAUAGUCUUAGGAAAGAAUUACCCCAAAUCUAGAUAUAGUAAAAGUUUCUGGUGGCCUUUCCCCUGCAUCUGAACUGAAGAGCUCAUUCCUGAUUACAAUAAGCUUCUGGAAAAGAUAAUUUAUAUAAACAGUUGGCUGGCUUUGGGUAGACAAUACACACGAAACUAACACUUUCUCAAUCUUUCCCUUCCCUCAAGCCUGGUUAAAAGAACAAAAUUAAAUUAAAUGAUUAAAAAAAAUGGAUAACUAGUGGCCACAACUUUGUAAAGGGGAUUCUUGCAUUGAGUAGGAUAUUCUGGGGUUCUUUCUAAUUUUAAGACUCUAUAGCUUUAAAAAUCCUAGGAGAAUAAUGAUAGUGCAUAUAAUUUCUGUAAAUAUAUUGGUGUACUCUGGGUUAGGACAACAUAAAUAAUAUCCAGAAUAGAUAUCACAUGUCAGGUUACAGCACAUCUAAUUCAGUUCAUUUUGUUAAUUUUUUUUCUUCAAGUUUUCUUGAGAUAUGAUUGACAUACUGCAUUGUAUAAGUUUAAGGUAUAUAGCACAAUUAUUUCACUUACAUACAUCAAGAAAUGAUAACCAUAAUACGUUUAGUGAACAUCCAUCAUCUCAUGUAGAUACAAAAUUAAAGAAAUAGAAAAAUAUUUUUUUUCCUUGUGAUGAGAACUGUUAGGAUUUACUGUGAACAAUUUUCAUACACAACACACAGCAGUGUUAAUUAUAUUUAUCAUGUUGUACAUUACAUCCCAAGUACUUAUUUAUCUUAUAACCAGAAGUUUUUACCUUUUGACUGCCUUCAUCCAAUUCCCCCUCCCCCCUGCCUAUGGUAACCACAAAUCUGAUCUUUUUCUAUGAAUAUGAGUGUUUGUUUUUGAAAUAUAGCUGAAAUACACUUUUUGAAAUAUAGUAACUAACAACACUAUGUUAGUUCCUGAUACACAACAUAGUGAUUUGUGAGUUUAUUUUAAUUCAGGCAAAAAGUAUGUGCCAAAUACCUGAUGUGUGCCCAGGACUAUAUAGCUUGCAGCAAAUAAAAAGAGGCAUUUCUGCCCUCAAUGACAUUACAGUGUGGUCUGAAAGCAAUCAUAUAAAUAGAUGAUUUUGUUAUGAUAUGAUAUAUGCUGAGUGGAGUGAUAUCCAUGUUGGCAUGGGCUCUAAUGAAGGCCCUAAUUCACUUUAUGAAGAAACAGAAGAAUAAACUUUCUUUAUAAAGAAAGUAAUGCCUAAGAUUAUGCUUAAAGCUUGAAAAGUAAUUAUCUAGGUGAAGAAGAUAGGGAAGGAGAUUCUAAAUGGAAGGACUAAUAUGAGAAAAGCAAGGGGACCUGAAACAUAAGGCACGUAUGAAAAACCACAAAUAACUUGGUAUUUCUGAAAUGUUGACGUUAAGUCAGACAUGAGGCAGGAUACAUCUGGGCCAGGCAUGAAGACUGUUCUGAGGUUUUAAAGCUUCUGUUGGGGUGCAGAUAAAAUCAGAAGAGGAUUUAGGUUUUAGCACUUGCUGAUACUAAGACUCCAUGAAUUAGAUGGUGUGAGAUUAGGGAUCAAACAAACUGAAAAUACGAGACUGAGGUUAUGCUAAGAUAAAAGGGUUUAUUUUAGGUGAUGAAAGAGACAACUAGAAUUAAAGGCAGGGGUAAAACAUUGACAUCGUGGUCAGUUGGCUAUGGCCUCUAAGGAGAACUUUGAAGAGCAUUAGUGAUGUGACUCUUUUUCUUUCUUUCUUUCUUUCUUUCUUUCUUUCUUUCUUUCUUUCUUUCUUUCUUUCUUUCUUUCUUUCUUUCUUUCUUUCUUUCUUUCUUUCUUUCUUUCUUUCUUUCUUUCUUUCUUUCUUUCUUUCUUUCUUUCUUUCUUUCUUUCUUUCUUUCUUAGAAACCAACAGGACAUUUACAAAGGCCUGGGUCCUGAUUGCAAUUCUAUGCACCUAAGAAUAAAUGAGAAAGAAAGCAGAACACAAGAAAAAAGGGAAAGAGAGAGGAUCAAACUCUGCAGGAUAUAUGUAACAUAUUUUUGUGGCCUCAAAUUAUGGGAUUAAAAAUGGAAUGAAAAGGAAAUGGUUUUGAAGGUAGAUGAUUGAAUACAAGCUCUUGAACUUGCUCCAUGGGAAGUAACAAAAGCAAAGAUGUCUUAAAUUUCUGGGUAUUUAGAGAAUCAGAGACAAGGAAGAAUAUUGAGACUUCUAUUAUUAAAAUAAUUUUGGAAUAAGGCCUUCAUGCCAGGCCCAGAGUCCACAGGCCCUUAGAAGGGAAGGGGCUUGAGGAGUUCCUCAGUGCCUCCCCUUCCCUUCCAUUCUUCCCAAACCCAUCUCUUAAUGACUUAGCAAAGUUAAGAAGCAGACAGCUCCAGAGCAAGCAGAGCCAGCUAAAUAAUUUGCAGGACCCAGGACAAGAUGCAAAUGCAGAACCUCUUAUUCAAAAUGCAGAAAACAAUGUACUAUCAGAGGUAUUAGCUAUAAAGAUUUUUUCCUUUCUUCCACAGUCUUUUUCUUGACUUGCCAUGGUGUUGUGUUAAUUUGCUAUUUAAUGCCAUUAUAAAUAAAGAAAAAAUAAAAUUUUAAAUUCUUACCAUGAA